This 492-nucleotide ribosomal RNA is filed under the name uncultured bacterium. RNAcentral describes it as "partial 16S ribosomal RNA". It matches the Rfam family "Bacterial small subunit ribosomal RNA", at positions 29 to 507 of the family's 1533-position model. The record is from RNAcentral.
AGUGAACGCUGGCGGUAGGCCUAACACAUGCAAGUCGAACGGCAGCACAGUAAGAGCUUGCUCUUACGGGUGGCGAGUGGCGGACGGGUGAGGAAUACAUCGGAAUCUACUUUUUCGUGGGGGAUAACGUAGGGAAACUUACGCUAAUACCGCAUACGACCUACGGGUGAAAGCAGGGGAUCUUCGGACCUUGCGCGAUCGAAUGAGCCGAUGUCGGAUUAGCUAGUUGGCGGGGUAAAGGCCCACCAAGGCGACGAUCCGUAGAUGGUCUGAGAGGAUGAUCAGCCACACUGGAACUGAGACACGGUCCAGACUCCUACGGGAGGCAGCAGUGGGGAAUAUUGGACAAUGGGCGCAAGCCUGAUCCAGCCAUACCGCGUGGGUGAAGAAGGCCUUCGGGUUGUAAAGCCCUUUUGUUGGGAAAGAAGAGCAGCAAGUUAAUACCCCGCUGUUCUGACGGUACCCAAAGAAUAAGCACCGGCUAACUUCGUG